UAAUACGUAGGUGGCAAGCGUUGUCCGGAUUUAUUGGGUUUAAAGGGUGCGUAGGCGGUCUUUUAAGUCAGUGCUGAAAUACUCCAGCUUAACUGGAGGGGUGGCAUUGAUACUGGAAGACUUGAGUAUAGUUGAGGUAGGCGGAAUUGACGGUGUAGCGGUGAAAUGCUUAGAUAUCGUCAAGAACACCGAUAGUGAAGACAGCUUACUAAACUAUAACUGACGCUGAGGCACGAAAGUGUGGGGAUCAAACAGGAUUAGAUACCCUGGUAGUCCACACUGUAAACGUUGAUGACUCGCUGUGUGCGAUAUACAGUACGCGGCUAAGCGAAAGCGAUAAGUCAUCCACCUGGGGAGUACGCCGGCAACGGUG
Molecule: ribosomal RNA, 373 nt
Filed under: uncultured bacterium
Lineage: Bacteria
Description: bacterial SSU rRNA
Rfam family: Bacterial small subunit ribosomal RNA
Source: RNAcentral